RNAcentral lists this ribosomal RNA (112 nucleotides) under Caerostris darwini. The record is from RNAcentral. Lineage: Eukaryota; Metazoa; Arthropoda; Arachnida; Araneae; Araneidae.
AACGGCCGUACCAUGCUGAAUAUACCGGUUCUCGUUAGAUCACCGAAGUUAAGCAUCAUUGGGCGCGGUCAGUACUUGUGUGGGUGACCACCUGGGAACACUGCGUGCCGUU